GAUCAUGGCUCGGGAUGAACGCUGGCGGCGCACUUAAGACAUGCAAGUCGAACGGACUUAACUGAAAUAUUUAUAUUUUGGAGCGGUUAGUGGCGGACUGGUGAGUAACGCGUAAGCAAUCUGCCUAUUAGAGGGGAAUAACAGUGAGAAAUCACUGCUAAUACCGCAUAUGCCAUGAACAUCGCAUGGUGAAAAUGGGAAAAGGAGUAAUCCGCUAAUAG
Molecule: ribosomal RNA, 221 nt
Filed under: uncultured bacterium
Lineage: Bacteria
Description: partial 16S ribosomal RNA
Rfam family: Bacterial small subunit ribosomal RNA
Source: RNAcentral